UUAUUAAAUUCUGACAACCCUCAGGCAAAGUGAAUACAAUUCAAGGUGACAUUUACUGUCAAGAAAAUCUUGCCCUUUCUAAGAAAGUGGUUUGUCAACACUCUGUGCAUAUUGGAAUCACCUGGAGAGGUAUUUUUAAAAACACACUGAGAGGUUAUGAUCUAAUUGGCCUGAUAUAGGAUGGUUCUAAUGAGCUACCACAGUUAAGAACUACCACCCUAAGUGGGUAAAUAGAAGCCACCAGAUUCUUAAAAACCCAGGGAGGAACUCUCAGCAUUGCAGUGAUGACCUCUGUAACCAAGAGUACACAAAUAAAGAACGAUAAAGUAAAUGAAGCUCCAUUAGCACUGAAAACCAGUGAGGUGAGGAAGAUCCAUUCUACAGUUAGAAGGUCUUAAUCACAACUGUGUCAUGUCUACAGUUAUUUUUGCAAGAUGCGGCACAGGACACCCUAUGGGCAGCUUAUGCUGGCACCCUAGAGGGCAAUAUCCCGGCAGAUGGCUUCUCAACGAAUUCUUCAGCAUGGCGUCUUCUCAGGGAUGGCUUCCCUACACCAGAGGACAGAGUCUUCACAGCACUACUGCAAGGUCUCCACCAUCCAGUGGGUCAUGGCUGCGGAGUCUCCAGUGAAGUCUGAAUCUCAUGGGCAGGGGAGAGGAGGGUAGGGUCUUCCAAAUGUGUUUCUUCCUUGGACGCUCCACCUCAGCCCUAGAUGGGGGGCUGCUCCCCACGUCUGCUAUUACUCUUCCUUUCCCUAUGUUUUCUUUACUCCUUAGUAGGUUAUAGUUAAUACUGUUAUAGUUAAUACUUCUUUAUAUUAAACUUCCUUUGUUUCCA
Molecule: long non-coding RNA, 837 nt
Organism: Herpailurus yagouaroundi (jaguarundi)
Lineage: Eukaryota; Metazoa; Chordata; Mammalia; Carnivora; Felidae
Exons: 2
Source: RefSeq, a predicted model, not a curated record